Molecule: long non-coding RNA, 1462 nt
Filed under: Homo sapiens (human)
Lineage: Eukaryota; Metazoa; Chordata; Mammalia; Primates; Hominidae
Description: HSALNT0076550
Source: RNAcentral
GGAGUUUAUUAGGAGACUUGACUCACACGAUUACAAGGUGAAUUCCCACAAUAGGCCAUCUACAAGCUGAGGAGCAAGGAAGCCAGCCCGAAUUCCAAAACCUCAAAAAGUAGGGAAGCUGACGGUGCAGCCUUCAGUCUGUGGCCAAAGGCCCGAGAGCCCCUGAUAAAUCACUGGUUUAAGUACAAGUAUCUAAAAGCUGAAGAACUUGGAGUCUUUUGUUGGAGAGCAGGAAGCAUCCAGCACGGGAAAAAGAUAAAGGCCAGAAGACUCAGCAAGUCUCGUCAUUCCACUUUCUUCCGCCUGUUUAUUCUAGCCACACUGGCAGCUGAUUAGAUGGCGCCCACCCAGAUUGAGGGUAGGUCAGCCUCUCCCAGUUCACCGACUCAAAUAUGUUAAUUUCCUUUGGCAGCGCCCUCACAGAACACCCAGGGACACUACUUUGCAUCCUUCAAUCCAAUCAAGUUGACAUUCAAUAUUAACCAUCACAAAGACUAAGAAAAAACCUUGGAGUGACAGUGCAAUGAUCUAGAAGGCACCUGCUACCUUGAUGACUUUGUGGAGUCAUUAUUCCAGACUGAGUAAAUCUAUAUAAAAACGAAGAGAAAUCCACAGACCUUUUGAAGGAACUGGAUCACCACUGCAGGCUCCUCAAGACACCAAAAAACUGGAAGCAUGAUCGUGAUGGUGGAUCAUGGCAUUCCUCCAUAUAGAAAAGCUUGGAUAUUCCCAUUUCUUCAGAAUGAAUUUCCCGUAAGAAGUGUUUUUAUCUGUAUCAAGCCAGUUGAGGGUCUUCAAACUAAACACUGAAAGAGUUUGCUGUAAAGUCAUGGAACCAGGGUAUACUGACUCCAUCUACACAAGUCAAAGGUUUGCCACUUCUAGGUAAUGGAAAACAUUGGAAGACCAGAGAAUUCUUAAAUAUGAGUCCAUGAGUCCACUUUCUUGAUCUUUUCUUGGUUGAGGACUAUGUUGCUGAGAUACCAAGGAGACUAGUAAAACAUUUCUACUAAAAGUGCAGCCUGCUCACAAGCACUGGUUGCUAAACAACUAAUUACCAGUCUAGAACUAGAGAAAGUCAAAAAUUGAUAGAAUAUUUUAGAAACUUUUGUGGAAUUUUGACAUGGCUACCAUAUUCAAGUACAUUUUCAAUGGGUCCAUUUGUGGCUGAAAAUAUUAAGCAAGGUGUGACCCUUCUUGGAAAUGCCAUCAUGUGUUUAUGCUGACACCAAAACAGGCUCAUUGAUUUUCCAGCUUUCUAAUUCAUGCAAUCUCAGAUUUGAAAGGACACAACAAAAAUUUAGCCAAGAGUAAAUCUAAUUCUAAUAAAAUAUGGUCCAAAGAUAUGUUCAGCUUAUGAUUAAAGUAAAAUUUUAUUGUGACUUUUUUUAAGAAUCCAAGUGUUCUCCUACUUACCAGAGAAUGAUGAUUAAUGGCAUAUGUGAAUAAAUAUACCUGUGAA